CUACGGGAGGCAGCAGUGGGGAAUCUUGGACAAUGGGCGCAAGCCUGAUCCAGCCAUGCCCCGUGGAUGAUGAAGGCCCUAGGGUUGUAAAAUCCUUUCGUUGGGGACGAUAAUGACGGUACCCAAAGAAGAAGCUCCGGCUAACUUCGUGCCAGCAGCCGCGGUAAUACGAAGGGGGCUAGCGUUGUUCGGAUUUACUGGGCGUAAAGCGCGUGUAGGCGGGUCGUUAAGUUGGGGGUGAAAUCCCGAGGCUCAACCUCGGAACUGCCUUCAAAACUGGCGACCUGGAGCAAGAUAGAGGCAAGUGGAAUUGCGAGUGUAGAGGCGAAAUUCGUAGAUAUUCGCAGGAACACCAGUGGCGAAGGCGACUUGCUGGAUCUUUGCUGACGCUGAGACGCGAAAGCGUGGGGAGCAAACAGGAUUAGAUACCCUAGUAGUCC
This 440-nucleotide ribosomal RNA is filed under the name uncultured bacterium. Its description in RNAcentral is "bacterial SSU rRNA". It matches the Rfam family "Bacterial small subunit ribosomal RNA", at positions 339 to 796 of the family's 1533-position model. The record is from RNAcentral.